CGUAUAUUAAAGUUGUUGCGGUUAAAAAGCUCGUAGUUGGAUUUCUGUUGAGGACGGCCGGUCCGCACUAUGUGCGUGUAUCUGGUUCGGCCUUGGCAUCCUCUUGAGGAACGUAUCUACGCUUGAUUGCGUGGAGCGGUAUUCAAGGCUUUUACUUUGAGGAAAUUAGAGUGUUCACGGCAGGCAAGCGCCCUGAAUAUAUUAGCAUGGAAUAAUAAUAUAGGAUCUUGGUUCUAUUUUGUUGGUUUCUAGAGCUAAGGUAAUGAUUAAUAGGGAUAAUUGGGGGCAUUUGUAUUAACGCGUCAGAGGUGGAAUUCUUGGAUUGCGUUACGACAAACUACUGCGAAAGCAUUUGCCAAGGAUGUUUUCAUUGAUCAAGAACGAAAGUAUGGGGAUCGAAGAUGAUUAGAUACCGUCGUAGUCUAUACCAUAAACUAUGCCGACUAGGGAUUGGAGGUCGUUCUUUUUAUGACUCCUUCAGCACCUUAUGAGAAAUCAAAGUCUUUGGGUUCUGGGGGGAGUAUAGUCGCAAGGCUGAAACUUAA
This 545-nucleotide ribosomal RNA is filed under the name uncultured alveolate. RNAcentral describes it as "SSU rRNA". It matches the Rfam family "Eukaryotic small subunit ribosomal RNA", at positions 598 to 1147 of the family's 1831-position model. The record is from RNAcentral.